RNAcentral lists this ribosomal RNA (388 nucleotides) under uncultured bacterium. Its description in RNAcentral is "bacterial SSU rRNA". It matches the Rfam family "Bacterial small subunit ribosomal RNA", at positions 30 to 420 of the family's 1533-position model. The record is from RNAcentral.
AUUGAACGCUGGCGGCAUGCCUUACACAUGCAAGUCGAACGGCAGCGGACCUUCGGGUGCCGGCGAGUGGCGAACGGGUGAGUAAUAUAUCGGAACGUACCUUUCAGUGGGGGAUAACGUAGCGAAAGUUACGCUAAUACCGCAUAUUCUGUGAGCAGGAAAGCAGGGGAUCGCAAGACCUUGCGCUGAUUGAGCGGCCGAUAUCAGAUUAGCUAGUUGGUGAGGUAAAGGCUCACCAAGGCGACGAUCUGUAGCGGGUCUGAGAGGAUGAUCCGCCACACUGGAACUGAGACACGGUCCAGACUCCUACGGGAGGCAGCAGUGGGGAAUUUUGGACAAUGGGCGCAAGCCUGAUCCAGUCAUGCCGCGUGAGUGAAGAAGGCCUCGG